GCACUCCCUUCUGUCUCUGAUGGUCAGGGUGGCUAGGGGUGGUGCUCGGCCACCCAUGCGGCGCUUGGCCACUCAUGCGGCAUGGGGAAAAAAUCCUCUCCCAAUUGGCGCGAUGGAAGAAAAAAGGAUGUUGAGUUCGAAUCCAAAUCCGAAUCCAUUAGGAUCCGAACCCAUAAUGACCUAUCAGAUUUUCGGAUUUUGGAUUUAACCCAUUAAAUUUUGGAUCAAACC
Molecule: long non-coding RNA, 231 nt
Filed under: Elaeis guineensis (African oil palm)
Lineage: Eukaryota; Viridiplantae; Streptophyta; Magnoliopsida; Arecales; Arecaceae
Description: long non-coding RNA (EGUI_LNC016865)
Source: RNAcentral